Molecule: unclassified non-coding RNA, 572 nt
Filed under: Hevea brasiliensis (rubber tree)
Lineage: Eukaryota; Viridiplantae; Streptophyta; Magnoliopsida; Malpighiales; Euphorbiaceae
Source: RNAcentral
ACAGGCUAAAAUCCAACUUAAUUUAUUAUUAAUACCAUGAAGUUCAUACAUACCAUGAUGGAAUGACAUGCAAAUACACAGAAAUGAUAAAAACAGAAAUGAUAGAAACACAAAUAAUAUAUGCACUAUGGCAUAUAUUUGCUGCUGAUAUUAAUAUAUAAAACCCACAUAUAUAAAAACCUACUUAUAUAUAAUUAUACCACAUCAUUUAUUUCAUAGGAGAUGAUACUUAAUUUAUGGAAGCAUGAAAUAAUUAAGGUGCAGCACUGCUAGGGCCCUUAGGAUGACCGGCGCCAGGACUAUGGCCUGGAUCUGUGGGUCGAAAAUCGUCACUAUCUCCCUCAGUAUCCACUAAAGGGUUGCGGCGGUGGAAGUUGAAAUCGCCAGUACUCAUCACACUGUUCUCUUGGAUCUUCAACAGCCUUCCCUCAGUGGAAGAAAUUUCAUAAGAUAAAACUAGUGCAAUGAUCAAAGCAAUAGUGAAAAUGAUCUUAACUCUAGCCAUGCCAAAUAUUUUCAAGUGAAGGGUAACUAGAAAGCUGAAGAAGGCUAGCUAGGAGAGGUGUUUAGAG